Molecule: ribosomal RNA, 410 nt
Filed under: Anopheles plumbeus
Lineage: Eukaryota; Metazoa; Arthropoda; Insecta; Diptera; Culicidae
Description: partial 28S ribosomal RNA
Source: RNAcentral
CCCGUGGAACUCAAUGAACCGGAGCGGCGAUAUUCACCCGUGCGUCGGAGCGCAGCCACUGCGUCCCCGGCCGCGGAGCACUUAUCGUCCGCAGCGUACGGACAUCGCGAUCCAUUACGAGCGCGCACUGCACCCCAGUGCCAACUCCAACACCAGGUCCCAGACUCGCGCGGUCGACCCCCAAGUAGUCGCACUCAGCUCACAGCCGGUGCCGCAAACCGGGGAUUCGGGGUGGCCUCUGGCCUGCCCCGGAGCAUCGGCCGAGUCAGGUGUACCGUUGGCGGCGUGAUGGUAUCACACGGAACGUGGGAGAUGGAAGCGCAUGCCCUCGCGGCAUGUCCCGGCACCUAGCCAUGGGCGACCACUCACCCGAUCCGCGAUGUGUUCACACUUAUUGAGGUACCCUCGGG